UAGUCCAUGCCGUAAACGUUGGGCACUAGGUGUGGGGUCUAUUCAACGGUCUCCGUGUCGUAGCUAACGCAUUAAGUGCCCCGCCUGGGGAGUACGGCCGCAAGGCUAAAACUCAAAGGAAUUGACGGGGCCCGCACAAGCGGCGGAGCAUGUUGCUUAAUUCGAGGCAACGCGAAGAACCUUACCUGGGUUUGACAUAUAUAGGACCGCCAUAGAGAUAUGGCUUCUUUUAGUCUAUAUACAGGUGGUGCAUGGCUGUCGUCAGCUCGUGUCGUGAGAUGUUGGGUUAAGUCCCGCAACGAGCGCAACCCUCGUCCUGUGUUGCCAGCAUUUAGUUGGGGACUCACAGGAGACUGCCGUGGUUAACACGGAGGAAGGUGGGGAUGAGGUCAAGUCAUCAUGCCCCUUACAUCCAGGGGCUGCAAACAUGCUACAAUGGCCGGUACAACGGGCUGCUAUACCGCGAGGUAAAGCGAAUCCCUU
Molecule: ribosomal RNA, 483 nt
Filed under: uncultured bacterium
Lineage: Bacteria
Description: bacterial SSU rRNA
Rfam family: Bacterial small subunit ribosomal RNA
Source: RNAcentral